GACGAACGCUGGCGGCGUGCCUAACACAUGCAAGCCGAGCGACGAAGCCCGGCCCUUGCCCCCAUCUGAAGAGCCGCGAACGGGCGACUAACGCGCGGGGCAUCCGCCUUUCAGCGGGGGACAACCUCUGGCCACGAACGCUAAUACCGCAUAACAACUUUAAACAUACGUUUUAAGUUUGAAAGAUGCCAUUGCCUCACUCAAACAUCAUCCCGCGCUGUAUUCGCUAGUUGGCGAGGGAAAGGCUCACCAAGGCGAUGAUACAUAGCCGACCUGAGAGGGUGAUCGGCCACAUUGGGACGGAGACACGGCCCAAACUCCUACGGGAGGCAGCAGGAGGGAAUCUUCGGCAAUGGACGAAAGUCUGACCGAGCAACGCCGCGGGAGUGAAGAAGGGUGUCGGAUCGUAAAACUCUGUUGGUAGAGAAGAACGUUGGUGAGAGUGGAAAGCUCAUCAAGUGACGGUAACUACCCAGAAAGGGACGGCUAACUACGUG
RNAcentral lists this ribosomal RNA (497 nucleotides) under uncultured bacterium. Its description in RNAcentral is "partial 16S ribosomal RNA". It matches the Rfam family "Bacterial small subunit ribosomal RNA", at positions 28 to 507 of the family's 1533-position model. The record is from RNAcentral.